Long non-coding RNA from Octopus bimaculoides (California two-spot octopus), 398 nucleotides. Lineage: Eukaryota; Metazoa; Mollusca; Cephalopoda; Octopoda; Octopodidae. The record is from RefSeq and is a predicted model, not a curated record.
GCCGCGACAGUCUCUUCUUUCACUGCAUUCCAUGGUUUGUAGCUGACUGGCACACUUUUUCAGCACUGGGUGUCUUUAUGCGUCAAAUAGUGGUACAGUCAUUUUGAGUUGAAACAUUCAUUUACUUAUUCCAUUCUUCACGCAUGAAAGACUUUCAACAGUUGGUUUACAGAAACAUCUAAAAACUGUAACAGAGAGGUAAUCCCUCAGCAUCAAUGUACCAACCGUCUGUAUGAUGCAGGAGCAUUUACAACAGCCAUGAAGUAGCUUGAGUUUUAUGACAUCAAGUUGCAAAACCGAAUGAAAAAGUGGCAUAUAAUACAGCCGCAUGUGUAGGAGGAGUGAAACAGGGAGAUAGAGAAAUAGAACCCAAGUGAUAUAUAUAUACAUACAUAUAU